RNAcentral lists this unclassified non-coding RNA (20 nucleotides) under Mus musculus (house mouse). RNAcentral's name for it is "oocyte_clustered_small_RNA13933". The record is from RNAcentral. Lineage: Eukaryota; Metazoa; Chordata; Mammalia; Rodentia; Muridae.
UUUGGUGCAGAAGUGAGCGA